Molecule: ribosomal RNA, 460 nt
Filed under: uncultured bacterium
Lineage: Bacteria
Description: partial 16S ribosomal RNA
Rfam family: Bacterial small subunit ribosomal RNA
Source: RNAcentral
CCUACGGGUGGCAGCAGUGAGGAAUAUUGGUCAAUGGGCGCAAGCCUGAACCAGCCAAGUCGCGUGAGGGAUGACGGCCCUACGGGUUGUAAACUGCUUUUAUACGGGAAUAACGCGCCUUACGUGUAGGGCUUUGCAUGUACCGUAUGAAUAAGGACCGGCUAAUUCCGUGCCAGCAGCCGCGGUAAUACGGAAGGUCCGGUCGUUAUCCGGAUGUAUUGGGUUUAAGGGGAGCGUAGGCCGCAUGUCAAGCGUGCUGUGAAAUGUCCGGGCUCAACCCGGGCCUUGCAGAGCGAACUGGCGUGCUUGAGUCCGCGGAAAGCAGGCGGAAUUCGUCGUGUAGCGGUGAAAUGCUUAGAUAUGACGAAGAACCCCGAUUGCGAAGGCAGCUUGCUGCAGCGGAACUGACGCUGAUGCUCGAAAGCGCGGGUAUCGAACAGGAUUAGAUACCCUGGUAGUC